ACAGCAGCAGCCGCGGUAAGACGGAGGGUGCUAGCGUUGUUCGGAAUCACUGGGCGUAAAGGGCGCGUAGGCGGCCUGUUAAGUCGGAUGUGAAAGCCCGGGGCUCAACCCCGGAACUGCAUCCGAGACUGGCAGGCUUGAGACCGGGAGAGGAGGGUGGAAUAUCCAGUGUAGAGGUGAAAUUCGUAGAUAUUGGAUGGAACACCGGUGGCGAAAGCGGCUCUCUGGCCCGGAUCUGACGCUGAGGCGCGAAAGCGUGGGGAGCAAACAGGAUUAGAUACCCGAGUAGUCCUGUCUCUUAUACA
This 305-nucleotide ribosomal RNA is filed under the name uncultured bacterium. RNAcentral's name for it is "partial 16S ribosomal RNA". It matches the Rfam family "Bacterial small subunit ribosomal RNA", at positions 505 to 809 of the family's 1533-position model. The record is from RNAcentral.